UUCGCCUCCGUGGCGGUUGGAUGUGGUUUUUGUAACUACGUAUAUUUUUUGAUCGUGGGGACUGCGUACGCGUUAUCCCUGUUUUUCUUUUACCUUCAUAUUACUGGAAAAUAGCGUAUGGACAAAGCUGAAUGCAGUCCGGAGCCAUAUAUUGAACUGAACUGGGAGAAUGGCAUAUGGAUAUACCCUUCUACCUAAAGCCAUAUACCGAACUGAACUGAACUGGGAUUAGCUGUCCUUUCAAUUUCUAAAGUAGCAGAAACAGAUAGUCAGCUGGGUAGCAAUCAUGGAACUCGUCGGAAUCGAUUCCGAUCAGAAUAAUUCCGUUUCCCGAAAAGACAAUAGAAAUCUAGGAAAUAACAGAAUAAAUUCGAUCGGAAUCGAUUCCGAUGAGAUCCAUAAUAGGUACCCUGUACUUAUCUCUUAUAUUAAAACAUGGUCUGUAGCCAAUAAAAUAAUCCGUGCAGCAUCUAGAUGGAUAUAGGAGACCUAACUAUGAAUACAGAAAAUGUAGAAAAAGUUAUGGUGGUAAUUGUCAUAACUAAGCAGAACAUGUGAAAAAAGAUGACAUUCUAUGUAUAUUAGACACAAACAUUAAAUAAUAAAAUUAAACAAUUUAUCUCUCGUCCGACAUAUUUCAUUAAAAGUCACGUUAGAAAUGAAAGGCUAC
Long non-coding RNA from Harpegnathos saltator (Jerdon's jumping ant), 670 nucleotides. RefSeq lists it as uncharacterized. The record is from RefSeq and is a predicted model, not a curated record. The transcript has 3 exons. NCBI's taxonomy places the organism in Eukaryota, Metazoa, Arthropoda, Insecta, Hymenoptera, Formicidae.